UUCUGAUUUGCUUAUUGCACCACAUGUGUUUUUCUUUGAAACAAACUUGCUUUGGCGGUGGGCCCAGCCUGCCGCCAGAGGUCUAAACUUACAACCAAUUUUUUAUCAACUUGUCACACCAGAUUAUUACUAAUAGUCAAAACUUUCAACAACGGAUCUCUUGGUUCUCGCAUCGAUGAAGAACGCAGCGAAAUGCGAUACGUAAUAUGAAUUGCAGAUAUUCGUGAAUCAUCGAAUCUUUGAACGCACAUUGCGCCCUCUGGUAUUCCGGAGGGCAUGCCUGUUUGAGCGUCGUUUCUCCCUCAAACCGCUGGGUUUGGUGUUGAGCAAUACGACUUGGGUUUGCUUGAAAGACGGUAGUGGUAAGGCGGGAUCGCUUUGACAAUGGCUUAGGUCUAACCAAAAACAUUGCUUGCGGCGGUAACGUCCACCACGUAUAUCUUCAAACUUUGACCUCAAAUCAGGUAGGACUACCCGCUGAACUUAAGCAUAUCAAAAGCGGAGGAA
Molecule: ribosomal RNA, 507 nt
Filed under: Candida albicans
Lineage: Eukaryota; Fungi; Ascomycota; Pichiomycetes; Serinales; Debaryomycetaceae
Description: eukaryotic LSU rRNA
Rfam family: 5.8S ribosomal RNA (bases 141-294)
Source: RNAcentral